Molecule: ribosomal RNA, 259 nt
Filed under: uncultured bacterium
Lineage: Bacteria
Description: partial 16S ribosomal RNA
Rfam family: Bacterial small subunit ribosomal RNA
Source: RNAcentral
UACAGAGGGGGCAAGCGUUAUUCGGAAUUAUUGGGCGUAAAGGGCGCGUAGGCGGCUUGGCAAGUGGAAGGUGAAAUCCCCGGUCGAAACCUCGAGGAACUGCCCUCCAAACUGCUUCGCUUGAGACCGGGGAGAGGUGAGUGGAAUUCCCAGUGUAGCGGUGAAAUGCGUAGAUAUUGGGAGGAACACCAGUGGCGAAGGCGGCUCACUGGACCGGGUACUGGACGCUGAUGCGCGAAAGCGUGGGGAGCAAACGGGG